Long non-coding RNA from Juglans microcarpa x Juglans regia, 1211 nucleotides. RefSeq lists it as uncharacterized. The transcript is spliced from 2 exons. NCBI's taxonomy places the organism in Eukaryota, Viridiplantae, Streptophyta, Magnoliopsida, Fagales, Juglandaceae. The record is from RefSeq and is a predicted model, not a curated record.
AAAAAGCUUCGAUCGGUUCUGCAUGUUCCUGAUUAUCACCCUCAUGAUGAAUACAUGCAUGCUCCUGGGCUAAGCAUGGUCAUAAUUAAUCUUUAUCAUCAUCGUCACUUGUCACCUUGUUCAAUGCAUGCUAGCUAGCAUCGGCACCAUCAUCAAGCCAUCUCCAUAUAUAUCAUGUGUGUGUGUCAUGGGGAUGAGAGGUGGUGACAUCAAUGCUUAUAUAGAGGGAAGCUUAGAGAUCAAGGUAGUGAGCUCGUUUUGGCACAAGUCAUCCACGAGUGUAGUGCGGAUUAACGGUGCUUGAGUAUAUGCAUGACUGAUCAAUAUAUUCCAAUGACAGGUAUGGUACCACUGCUAUUUGGCAUAGAAAUAAAUUAUCUAUAUAUAAAUUUUUUUAUUGACAUACCAACUACUGUAGAAAUAUCUGUGGUCAUAUCGGCUCUUAAAUAGCUUAACUCUCGGUAUAAAAACAAGGAAACUAUAGUUGACAGUUGAUCAGCAAACGCGUUAGAGCUAGAUGAUAGCUAGCAAGCAAGGCAUGACCCCAAGGGUGGCUAGACUUGAUAGUGUUAGAGCAUCUAAUUUUGGUCUUUUCGGUGCAUGUUGGGCAAAAGACUAAACAAGACCUAAUAAUUAACAUAUAUAAAAUGAUUACACAAUUCAUGCAUAAAAAAUAGAGCAUACUAAUACUAAUUACCACGGUACAUUGCAUCAACCUAUUUCGGAAAAGUAAUACAUUAGAAAAGAGAUUUUAAUGACCAACAUGACAAGAGAUCACUAUGGUAAUUAAGCCGAGGAAAACACUUCUUCAGCAAGAGACUUUCAUACUGCAUACAUAGAUCGUCGACCCUUUAUCUUAGGAGAACUAUUACAACUUUUUAAUUAAAGUUUUAGGACUGGGGAAAACUUAUUAGAUAAUCCGGAAGUACGAAUAACCUAGUACUUCAUUCCUAUCGUAAGAUGUCGUGUCAUUAAAAUUAUUUUUAUAAAUACUAUUAAUUUUUAAUGACACGACAUUGUGAUGGGAUGAAAGUAUCAAGUGAAUUCGUACUCUAAGAUAAGUACUAACUAAUAUACAUGAAUUACUCUAGUACUAGCUAGGAUAAUGACCACAUAUUAAUGAUCGAUCCCAAUUUUGAAAAGCUCAAGCGGCCGGGGCGUAAUCAUAAUCAUCAUCGUCAUCAUCCCCAUCACCCUCCAUGGGGAGAUCA